GGACUUGAGGCCCGCCUGGCUACAUCUGUCAUGCCAAUGACUGGCUUGGUCGACUUGGUCUCUGUUUGGCUGUUCCUGCCUCCCUUCCUCACCACCUCACCCACACUGCUCCUAGCUCUACCCUCAGUCAGAAAGGACACACUUUCCUCAUUACCUGUGGAUAAGGCACAGAUAGCUGUGCUCCUCUGCUAGCCUCUAAAUAUGCUCUUGAAGAUAACAGAACGUAAACGAAAGGAUACCUGAGUGACAAAAAUGCAACUGAAGAUAACUGCAGAGGCAGGCGAUCC
This 287-nucleotide small RNA is filed under the name Mus pahari (shrew mouse). Its description in RNAcentral is "sRNA (MGP_PahariEiJ_G0008210.1)". Lineage: Eukaryota; Metazoa; Chordata; Mammalia; Rodentia; Muridae. The record is from RNAcentral.